Molecule: ribosomal RNA, 253 nt
Filed under: uncultured bacterium
Lineage: Bacteria
Description: partial 16S ribosomal RNA
Rfam family: Bacterial small subunit ribosomal RNA
Source: RNAcentral
UACGGGGGGUCCGAACGUUGUCCGGAAUCACUGGGCGUAAAGAGCAUGUAGGUGGCUUGGUAAGUGUACGAUUAAAGGCCGACGCCUAACGUCGGGAGUGUUGUACAUACUGCCUGGCUUGAGUCUAUCAGGGGCAAGCGGAACUUUGGGUGUAGGGGUGAAAUCCGUAGAUAUCCAAAGGAACACCAAUGGCGAAGGCAGCUUGCUAGGGUAGUUCUGACACUGAGAUGCGAAAGCGUGGGGAGCGAACGGG